Molecule: ribosomal RNA, 334 nt
Filed under: uncultured eukaryote
Lineage: Eukaryota
Description: partial 18S ribosomal RNA
Rfam family: Eukaryotic small subunit ribosomal RNA
Source: RNAcentral
CCCUCAGAUGUCCGGGGCCGCACGCGCGCUACACUGAAGGAAUCAGCGUGGCUUUCUCCCUGACCCGAAAGGGUUGGGAAACCCGUUGAAUCUCCUUCGUGAUAGGGAUUGGGGCUUGAAAUUGUUCCCCAUGAACGAGGAAUUCCCAGUAAGCGCGAGUCAUAAGCUCGCGUUGAUUACGUCCCUGCCCUUUGUACACACCGCCCGUCGCUACUACCGAUUGAACGGUUUAGUGAGGGCCUCGGAUUGGUCUCGGCCCGCUCUUUACCGGGCGGCGCCGUUGGUCGAGAAGACGCUCGAACUUGAUCGUUUAGAGGAAGUAAAAGUCGUAACA